AUGAUGAUGAUGAUGAUGAUGAUAAUGAACAAAACACAGAAUCUGUGCACAUAAAUCUUCUUUCUCAUCAAACCCCAACUUCCAAAAACCCGCCACUAAAACUAAUACCCCACAGAUAUUUCCCCGUAAUUAACACAAAGCCCAAAACCCAGAAUUGAUUCACCCCUGAAAGAACGAGAAGAAGAGAGAAAGUUCUGUUUUAGCCCUACAAAAACACUAGAUAACCCAAAAACGAAAGGGAAAACAAAGUCUAUGCAAGAAAGAAAAAGAAAACCACCGAGAGAGAGAGAGAGA
Molecule: unclassified non-coding RNA, 294 nt
Filed under: Hevea brasiliensis (rubber tree)
Lineage: Eukaryota; Viridiplantae; Streptophyta; Magnoliopsida; Malpighiales; Euphorbiaceae
Source: RNAcentral